CCUACGGGAGGCAGCAGUCGAGAAUCAUUCACAAUGGGGGAAACCCUGAUGGUGCGACGCCGCGUGGGGGAAUGAAGGUCUUCGGAUUGUAAACCCCUGUCAUGUGGGAGCAAAUUAAAAAGAUAGUACCACAAGAGGAAGAGACGGCUAACUCUGUGCCAGAAGCCGCGGUAAUACAGAGGUCUCAAGCGUUGUUAGGAUGCACUGGGCGUAAAGCGUGCGUAGGCUGUUUCGUAAGUCGUGUGUGAAAGGCGGGGGCUCAACCCGCGGACGGCAAAUGCUACUGGGAGACUAGAGUAAAGGUGGGGGAAGCGGAAUUCGCGGUGUAGCAGUGAAAUGCGUAGAUAUCGAGAGGAACACUCGUGGCGAAGGCGGGUUCCUGGACAUUAACUGACGCUGAGGCACGAAGGUCAGGGGAGCGAAAGGGAUUAGAUACCCUUGUAGUC
RNAcentral lists this ribosomal RNA (446 nucleotides) under uncultured bacterium. RNAcentral's name for it is "partial 16S ribosomal RNA". It matches the Rfam family "Bacterial small subunit ribosomal RNA", at positions 338 to 795 of the family's 1533-position model. The record is from RNAcentral.